Molecule: ribosomal RNA, 492 nt
Filed under: uncultured bacterium
Lineage: Bacteria
Description: partial 16S ribosomal RNA
Rfam family: Bacterial small subunit ribosomal RNA
Source: RNAcentral
AGUGAACGCUGGCGGUAGGCCUAACACAUGCAAGUCGAACGGCAGCACAGUAAGAGCUUGCUCUUACGGGUGGCGAGUGGCGGACGGGUGAGGAAUACAUCGGAAUCUACUUUUUCGUGGGGGAUAACGUAGGGAAACUUACGCUAAUACCGCAUACGACCUACGGGUGAAAGCAGGGGAUCUUCGGACCUUGCGCGAUUGAAUGAGCCGAUGUCGGAUUAGCUAGUUGGCGGGGUAAAGGCCCACCAAGGCGACGAUCCGUAGCUGGUCUGAGAGGAUGAUCAGCCACACUGGAACUGGGACACGGUCCAGACUCCUACGGGAGGCAGCAGUGGGGAAUAUUGGACAAUGAGCGAAAGCCUGAUCCAGCCAUACCGCGUGGGUGAAGAAGGCCUUCGGGUUGUAAAGCCCUUUUGUUGGGAAAGAAAAGCAGCAGGUUAAUACCCCGCUGUUCUGACGGUACCCAAAGAAUAAGCACCGGCUAACUUCGUG